AGCAGUGAGAAUAGAGACUAAUGCUGGGUUUCUUCUUUCUAAGAAGCGCCCCACCCCCAGGGCAAUUUGAAUAGUUUUGAAAUCAGGGUGUGUAUGUGUGUGUUUUUUUUCAAGCCCGGAGUGUUAGAGUGAUUUUCUGAGGUGCCUUUUUGGCUUUUUGGGCAUACUGCAUGGGCUGUUCACGCCUUGGCAGCUUAGAGCUAUGAGACCUAGCCACAGUCACAUGUACCUUUUGGGCACCUAGCAAGGUGCCAGGCCCCCUUCUAAGUAAUUAGUUAGUUAGUUAACUCGUGUCCACACCGCCGUGGGAAUGUGGAGGUCCAGCUCAGCUUUCCGGACUUGGUUCUCUCCUUUCACCGUGUGGAACCCAGAGAUCCAACUCAGGCUCAGCUCUGCCAAGUGCCAGGAAAUAAAGACCUCACCUGCCAAGAGGAGCCGGGAGGGGCGCCGAGGGCUCUGCCAGCAGCCUGGAGCUGUCAGGCUGGCGGUAAUUAAUUAAUCAAUCCAUCGAGGAGGCUCUCAGAGCCACAACAGCGUCUCCUGAACGUGGCACAGUGGGCAGGGACGGCAGCUGCUCCAAGGAGGUUGAGGUGUGUGUGGCGGGUCACACAUAAGUCAUAGUGUGCACCUGAAGAUCAGAGGACCAUCCGUAGGCGUUAGACCCCAUCCAAGCCCUCAGGGCCCUAGCCAGAUAAGUCAUCUCUGCAAUCUAGGAGUAUUCUUGAAGGCCAUUCUCACCCUAGGAGGGCUGGUGACAACUGGUGUGGAAGGGACUGAGAAUCAAAUACAUACACCCACUAGACUCAGCCAGCAAGGAUCUCUAAUUUUCCCUCAGCUGGGUCUCCUCAAUGCCCGUGAUCACUCUAGCUCCUCCAGGUGAGGUGGUUUCUCAUAUUCCCUACGUACAGCAAGAUGCUGCUUAACCUCCACCAAUUAUUUGUGCAAAUGGGUACAUCAGAUUCCAGGAGGCAGCUGGGAAGGGGGUGAGUUCCCCUCCUCGGAAAACGGAAUACAGAGUCAGCUGUCACGGCCUGUCCUCACACCGCCAUGUUUUUCUUAAGAAGUGAUGGGGAAGAUGGAUGAUCCAGACAUGAUACACUGAGGGCAGCCUUAAUGCCCGGGUGAGGCAGGAUGGCGGGGAAGCCUGUCACAGUGUUGUUGAGGACUCUGAAGUCGAUUAUGAGCAACCCGAAGUGGCCAGAGAGGAGCACUCAAGCUGGUGGCAUGGUUCUGUGGGCAAAGCUGCUUGCUGCUAAGCUAGAAGACCAGUACCAACAUGGUGGAAGGAGAGAGCAGACUCUCACACGCCUGCUAGGGUACCGGCACAUGGCCAUACAAGCAUGUUCAAACACAAAUAAAUGUAAUUGUAACUUUAAAA
Molecule: long non-coding RNA, 1378 nt
Organism: Mesocricetus auratus (golden hamster)
Lineage: Eukaryota; Metazoa; Chordata; Mammalia; Rodentia; Cricetidae
Exons: 5
Source: RefSeq, a predicted model, not a curated record